Molecule: unclassified non-coding RNA, 211 nt
Filed under: Coprinopsis atramentaria
Lineage: Eukaryota; Fungi; Basidiomycota; Agaricomycetes; Agaricales; Psathyrellaceae
Description: partial internal transcribed spacer 2
Source: RNAcentral
AAUUCUCAACCUCACCAAUUUUGUCAUGAAGUUGUGUGUAGGCUUGGAGGUGGAGGGUUUUUGCAGGUCCACAACAGUGGUCUGCUCCUCUGAAAUGUAUUAGUGGGUUAGGCCCCUAAUCUAUUGGUGUGAUAACUAUCUACUCCAUGGAUUGGGUUGGCUUAUCAUAAGACCUGCUUCAAACCGUCCUUCUCUGGACAACUCUUGACAU